This 56-nucleotide transfer RNA is filed under the name Trichostrongylus axei. Its description in RNAcentral is "tRNA-His". Lineage: Eukaryota; Metazoa; Nematoda; Chromadorea; Rhabditida; Trichostrongylidae. The record is from RNAcentral.
AGCAUUUUAGUUUAUAAAAAAAUUUUAUUUGUGGAAUAAAAGAUAAUAAUUGCUAG